Molecule: long non-coding RNA, 791 nt
Organism: Cygnus olor (mute swan)
Lineage: Eukaryota; Metazoa; Chordata; Aves; Anseriformes; Anatidae
Exons: 2
Source: RefSeq, a predicted model, not a curated record
CUCAAAUUGCACAUUUCUAUCAGGAGGUCUGCUGGUAUGUCAGAAAUUAGGCAAGGGGCCUCAUGCACAGCAAGUUCAGCUCAGCCUAUGAAAGAUGCGGCAAGGAUAAUAGAUUGAUAAUCCAAAUUUGCUUGACCCAGUUCUGCUCCCAUACAUGCUAAGGUCUUUGAGCAUCACAUUUUUCUGGAAGAGCUGUAUCUGUUUAACUAAACCUCCUGUUGAGUUUACUGAUGGCUUUGUCCUCAAAUAGGAGUUAAAUACCUGAACAUUUUUCCAGAUGUCAUCCUGAUGGUCACCUGGCUCUGUCUGAGAGGACUCCACAAAGCACUAUUUAUAUAGUUUCUUUUGGGUUUCUCAGCUACAGAGAGGCUCUUUCUCCAAAAUAUCUUGUUUUCAUAGAGGGAAAUGUUCAUCAUUUCCUAAAGUCUCAUCAGGAGGGUAUCAGAACUAAUGGUGUAUUUGUGGAUUAGUGGAAAUACUUGGCAGCCAUCCCACGGCUCUCUGCAGGAGCUAUAUUGCCUUCAGCAACACGAAGGGGUUGAUUGUGGAAGCUGCAUGGCAGCAUGUUCAGCAGGGGAUAAAUGACAGCUGUAAAGCAGGGCUGGGCUGAGCUGAGAAGGGGUACUCUGGAUAUUGUUUUGCCCUUCAGUGGAAUUGGGAAGUAAAUGAAACGAACUGGAUUCAUCACCCAUAAAUGCCUGUCAGCUGCAUCUCACAUUAUCUAAUAAACAAAUAGGUGUUUUCUCUAUGCCCUGCAUGUUUUCCAUAGUGGAAUUAAAAGCUAUACAAUA